CCUACGGGAGGCAGCAGUAAGGAAUAUUGGACAAUGGUCGCAAGACUGAUCCAGCCAUGCCGCGUGCAGGAUGACAGCCCUAUGGGUCGUAAACUGCUUUUGUGCGAGAAAAAACCCCUCUACGUGUAGAGGGCUGAUUGUAUCGUAAGAAUAAGGAUCGGCUAACUCCGUGCCAGCAGCCGCGGUAAUACGGAGGAUCCAAGCGUUAUCCGGAUUCAUUGGGUUUAAAGGGUGCGUAGGCGGAAUGAUAAGUCAGUGGUGAAAGCCUGCAGCUUAACUGCAGAACUGCCAUUGAUACUGUCAAUCUUGAGUACAUUUGAUGUGGGCGGAAUGUGUCAUGUAGCGGUGAAAUGCUUAGAUAUGACACAGAACACCGAUUGCGAAGGCAGCUCACAAAACUGUAACUGACGCUGAGGCACGAAAGCGUGGGUAUCAAACAGGAUUAGAUACCCUGGUAGUCCACGCUGUAAACUAUGAUUACUCGAUGUUUGCGAUACACUGUAAGCGUCUAAGCGAAAGCGAUAAGUAAAUCCACCUGGGAGUACGGCUGCAGAGUUGAAAUUAAAGGGAAUUGACCGGGNGNGAGACGNGCGAGACGACGACGAAGGGGAGGAAGG
Molecule: ribosomal RNA, 617 nt
Filed under: uncultured bacterium
Lineage: Bacteria
Description: bacterial SSU rRNA
Rfam family: Bacterial small subunit ribosomal RNA
Source: RNAcentral